UAAUAAUUUCAAGAAUAGGCAAUCAAGAAGCAGUCUGGGACAUGGAAGCCAUCAUCUAUUGAAUGAUAAUAUGAGUCAACAUAAUAAUAAUGAAUGAAGGUACAGUUCUCGGUUAAGUCAAAGAAGCCGCCCUGUGAGACUAGGCUGUUAUUCAGCAGUGUUGGAAGUUUUCUCUUCUAAUUUCAGUUUCAGUUAUCCCUGGUCAACCAUUGUCUGGAAGCAAAUGAUCCUCCUUCUGUAAUCAGAAGGCCAAUGGUAGCCUAAUGCAUUGUCACAAUUCCUCCAUCAAG
Long non-coding RNA from Hyaena hyaena (striped hyena), 290 nucleotides. RefSeq lists it as uncharacterized. NCBI's taxonomy places the organism in Eukaryota, Metazoa, Chordata, Mammalia, Carnivora, Hyaenidae. The transcript has 3 exons. The record is from RefSeq and is a predicted model, not a curated record.